This 76-nucleotide transfer RNA is filed under the name Micavibrio sp. Its description in RNAcentral is "tRNA-Lys". It matches the Rfam family "tRNA". Rfam says of the family: Transfer RNA (tRNA) molecules are approximately 80 nucleotides in length. The record is from RNAcentral. Lineage: Bacteria; Pseudomonadati; Bdellovibrionota; Bdellovibrionia; Bdellovibrionales; Pseudobdellovibrionaceae.
GAUCGCGUAGCUCAGUUGGUAGAGCAACUGACUUUUAAUCAGUAGGUCCAGGGUUCGAAUCACUGCGCGAUCACCA